Molecule: ribosomal RNA, 373 nt
Filed under: uncultured organism
Description: partial 16S ribosomal RNA
Rfam family: Bacterial small subunit ribosomal RNA
Source: RNAcentral
GUAGGUGGCAAGCGUUGUCCGGAAUUAUUGGGCGUAAAGCGCGCGCAGGCGGGUCCCUUAAGUCUGAUGUGAAAGCCCACGGGCUCAACCGUGGAGGGUCAUUGGAAACUGGGGGACUUGAGUACAGAAGAGGAAAGCGGAAUUCCACGUGUAGCGGUGAAAUGCGUAGAGAUGUGGAGGAACACCAGUGGCGAAGGCGGCUUUCUGGUCUGUAACUGACGCUGAGGCGCAAAAGCGUGGGGAGCAAACAGGAUUAGAUACCCUGGUAGUCCACGCCGUAAACGAUGAGUGCUAAGUGUUAGGGGGUUUCCGCCCCUUAGUGCUGCAGCUAACGCAUUAAGCACUCCGCCUGGGGAGUACGGCCGCAAGGCUG